GUAGUCCACGCCCUAAACGAUGCGAACUGGAUGUUGGGUGCAAUUUGGCACGCAGUAUCGAAGCUAACGCGUUAAGUUCGCCGCCUGGGGAGUACGGUCGCAAGACUGAAACUCAAAGGAAUUGACGGGGGCCCGCACAAGCGGUGGAGUAUGUGGUUUAAUUCGAUGCAACGCGAAGAACCUUACCUGGUCUUGACAUGUCGAGAACUUUCCAGAGAUGGAUUGGUGCCUUCGGGAACUCGAACACAGGUGCUGCAUGGCUGUCGUCAGCUCGUGUCGUGAGAUGUUGGGUUAAGUCCCGCAACGAGCGCAACCCUUGUCCUUAGUUGCCAGCACGUAAUGGUGGGAACUCUAAGGAGACCGCCGGUGACAAACCGGAGGAAGGUGGGGAUGACGU
RNAcentral lists this ribosomal RNA (397 nucleotides) under uncultured Stenotrophomonas sp. RNAcentral's name for it is "bacterial SSU rRNA". It matches the Rfam family "Bacterial small subunit ribosomal RNA", at positions 790 to 1185 of the family's 1533-position model. Lineage: Bacteria; Pseudomonadati; Pseudomonadota; Gammaproteobacteria; Lysobacterales; Lysobacteraceae. The record is from RNAcentral.